Molecule: unclassified non-coding RNA, 3582 nt
Filed under: Leishmania donovani
Lineage: Eukaryota; Euglenozoa; Kinetoplastea; Trypanosomatida; Trypanosomatidae
Description: gene:LdHU3.36.7580(CDS-product:hypothetical_prote in_conserved)
Source: RNAcentral
CAAAUGGAGUUUGCCAAGCGCAUUAGUGAGCUUGCUCACCUCGUACGUCGCUUGAGUCGCGUGCAGGCUGACGAAGCACGUUCACGGCGCCUCCUCGCGUCUGCACGCAGCGCGCCAAACUUGGUGGAAGAUGAAGUAGGGCUCCGAAUCUCUGCCGGCCAGCAACGAGUGCGCUCGCCCGCUUCAGUGCAUCACCACGCCUUGUCGGGAUGCGCGGCUGCUCAAAACCAGCUGUUGCUUCGACGCAUUCCACUUUCUGUCUCACUGGUGGAACGCAGCUGGUGGAAACUGGAAUGCCGCCAGCGUCAACGGGAAGUACAGCGAAUCGCCGCGCAGGCGUCUGCCGGCGCAGCGGCUGGCACCACUGCCGGCUCGGCCUCAUCACCGCCGGCUAGCAGCGCCACUGGCUCUGCCCCUUCUGUAGCACCUGUAAUGCAGCCCGAGAAGAGCAAAACUCUAUCGAUAGUGCAGCCCUCACCUGCAGCGUCGCGCCAGCACAUCGACGCUGUUGUUCUCCUUCUGAAGCUUCUCCACUCGGUCGAAGAGGCGCGUCGGCAACUGCUGUGGAGGAAAGAGGGGGCAGCGCGACGCAGGUGUACCGCGGCGGACGAUAAGUGGCAGCAGUUUCAGGAGGAGUUCGCACCGCAGCUGCGCCGCCGCAAUCGGAAGAGUGGAAAGCAGGACGACGUGCACAGGGAAGACAGUGUCGCGCUCCUUCGGGAAACAGCGAACAUGUUGCAGGAACGCUGCCGCGCCGCUAAGGCGGAUGCGUCCCUUCUGCGCGCCUCGCUGCUCGCCCGCUCGUUCGUCUCGGCACGUCUCUGGGAACUGCUGUUGAGGAAAUCUGUGUGGACGGCGGCUGUCGUAGAGCACAAGCACGCGGCCGCGGUGGAUGAGUCGUCCCUGGCGGCGCCUCAUGCCACACGACUGCUUCUCAUGUGCCUCGCGUUCACGCGCCUCUCGAUGGGGGUGUUGCGCGACUACGUGGAGGGGAGGUGCUUCAGCCGGCACGCGCCACGCUUCGUCGUGUCGAUGCCGUCGCGGUCGUGGCAGUCCCGCAAACGGAACGUAGACGCCCGAAGCCUCGACGGAGAUGCCGCGCGGAGCGCGGCGGCGGCGGACACGUCAGUCGAAGCCGGCGACGGUGCGCGCGAUUCCAAGGACCGCUCUACCGCCGAUGCAACUCCGGGCAGCAACCAAGAAGACGCACUUUUUUCCAUCCUGCAGGGGGCCCUGCAAGUCCCUAGCUCUGCUGCCGCUGACAUCGCACUCGCGGCAAGCGCACCACUUGCCCGUGACUCCGCCUCGAAGAGCACCAGGCGCAAGCGGCGGCCGGGCAGAGUGGCGUCCAUGCGAUGGAUUCCCCCUCACACGGCGCACGUGAUUCCGCUCGCCUCGGAGACGCUCGCCCUCCAUACUUUCGUUUUGCCAGAGAUGGACGUGCCCACGCUGCUGCGUCUCGGCUGCGCAGCGGAGCUAGUCGAUCUCUGUGUGACGCUGCAGCGACUGGCCUCUUGUGUGCUGGUUUUGUCGCCGCAGCAGACGCCGUCGCUGGCAGACAGCAAGGAAGCCGCCAAGUCGCUGCAGCGCACUCUCCACUGCCUCGAGGACGCCAUAGCAACGGUGGGGCGUCAGGUGAAGACACACCUCGUCGCUGAGCAAAACGUGCGUCUCUCUAGCCAGCCGAUAGCGGCGGCGACGACGCUGGGGCGCCUUAAACCUGCGGACGCCGCACGGCUUGCGGUUCAGCUGCACACGCUCCGCCUGCUUCCCGUCGGCGACGCAGAUGCCGCGUUUUUGCUGUCGCAGCUGCUGCGCGACAUGUUCCCUGAACUGCGAACCAAGACGAGUCGCGUAUUGAGGGAGAAGGCACGACAGUCUUCCCUUUUGGCAUUUGCCACGCGUCCGCACCGCAUGAAGCUGUACGUGCAGCACGGCCGCCAAGGCGCAGAGGGCUACGUGCUGGGCACCAUUGUGCAGCAGGCGCGACUGCAGCAGCGGCAGCUUGCAGCGGCACUCCGUGCGCAGCACAUCUCCGAGGUUCAUGUGCAGCAACUGGGUGUAUUCGCUGAAUCUCUGCCACCGAGUGAGCUUGUGCGACUGAUUCAACUGUGCGCGAGCCACGCGAACAGAAGCCACGCAACGCAGCAGCGAGCGUUGUCCGCUGAGGCUUUCGAUACUCCGGUGACAGGAUGCCUCUUCCUUGCCGAGGCUCUGCUCAUCUCGGGCGCGCUUCAAACAACUCCUGACCAACCAAGUACGCUCUCUUUGCAGGAGCUAGCCAUCUUGUGGGAUGCCGCGACGCUGUUGUACCCGCUCAUUUGUGCUCGGAGGGCGCAGCAGCUCGUGGGUGGCGCUGGUCGUUUGCGCCUUUCACAUGCGGUGAAGUCUGAGUUCGUCAUCUGGGCAACCUUCGCCGAGCAUGUGUUGGUGAUGGCGAACGGGGCUUUGGCACAGCGCCUCCAGAAUCUGGAGAAGCUGCGGCAGCAUGAGUCUACAGCGAUGCGGCGCGCUCGCAUCACGAGCGAAAGGAAGGCAGCGUCAGAUGUCGCCGCCGUGGAGCGUGAGACUGCCUUGAUAGACAGCCGAAUCACGGCAGACGCUUUAGUCAGCCUCGCAGCAGGCGUGCUAGAAUACGCGGAGCACGACGACAGUGUCUCCGCUCGCAGCGUCACCGCUAGCACGCACUCUUCCUCACUGCCAGUGCAGAAUUCGGUGCGAGUACUCGCUCGUCUGCUGCAAGAGCUGGUCUUUCAUGAUCGGCAACUCUGGCACUCGCUUCGCAUUCUCCCCGCCACCCAGCGCAGCGCCGUGGAGCGUCAACUUGCAAUGUGCUUCCAGACUAUGGGUAUGCUGGACGAAACAACGACUCGCGCGCUUGACGCGCUCAGCCGGCGCAGCCACGUCGAGUUGUAGAGGAAAAGCGAAAUGUCGGUGGAGGGCUGCAGCUGCGUUUCUGUGAGCCGCGGCGCUUCCGUCGUGCCUCACACAGCGGAAGAUGACGCAGUCUGGUGUAUGGCUUCCCUCUCUGUGUGUCGCAUUCUCCUCGUUCUUUCUGCCCUCCUCACAUCCCGCCGUUUUCUUCUGCUUGCCAAACAGUAUGGGGGGGGAGGGCGGCGGCCGCAUCGAUCUGGUUGCCAGCGGCGAGCUCGUACAAGUUCGGUAAACGGGAGAAGUACGUUAAGACAGACCGCUAAGGAGCAUCAACAUGAACACGGUGAAAUCCUGCCCACGCACGCGGGACUGAGUUGCGGAAAGAAGAGGAAGGUGAAAUAUUGGAAGAGGCCAAAAUAAAAAAGAAAACAAGAAGCGAAGAGGACGGAAGCGUCUUUCGUUCUGUAAGCGUUGGCGACACGCUUAUGCACGCACACAACUCUCCAGCCACCACCACCGCCACCACCUCGACUCCUCACCGCUCUUUGGAUGUCCUUUACCCUCUCGCUCGCCGCGUUCCCCUCUCCCUACUAAACAUACACACGCACGCACACCAUCACUCAAACUCUCCACACUCGGGUGGCUGUGCGCUACCCCUGUCCUUUCAUCCUUAAACGAAUACGCGUACACACACUCAACACUUCACAG